This is a long non-coding RNA of Amphiprion ocellaris (clown anemonefish), 3090 nucleotides long. RefSeq lists it as uncharacterized. The transcript has 3 exons. The record is from RefSeq and is a predicted model, not a curated record. NCBI's taxonomy places the organism in Eukaryota, Metazoa, Chordata, Actinopteri, Pomacentridae.
GGACCCACGUAGCGAGGACCCGAUGCCAGGUCCAGCAGAUCACGCUGCACUCGCGUGUUUUAAAAUGUUUACACCCGAAACUCCACCACGUCCGCAGAAGCAAAAACGUUUGCAAAAUUACCGACGUGAGUGAUAAGAGAGAAACCCCUGGCAAUGAGAACAAGGCAAACUGUGUUUUCUGUUGUUCAUGGACUGGCUGAAGUAAAGCAGCAUCAGGAGACCAACAUGUAAGAACCAUGAGAACAGAGAGGACCCAACCAGCAGGUCACAGUUUAUCAUCAUCUAAUCAUCUCCUGAAGUCCAUAUGACAUCCACCAAGCACUGGAACACAUCUCCAAAGGUCUGCCGGGCCAGCUCAGCUUCCCCUCAGAAGAAGUUCCACCAGAUGAAGGAGCCUUUUGAGAGGCAGCUGGCAUCGUGAUUGGACUGUACUUUGGUCUGUUCCAGUCCAGCUUCAGCUCCAGAGACGGCAGGCAGGACGAGUCAACGGAGGCCGGGUGGACGAAGGCAUGCAGCUGAGUACAAUCCAGAAAACAACAGAGGAGGAGUGCAGCGACCCAGGGCCAGAACAAGCAGAGUAACAUAACCAAAGAACUACAGACUCUUCACAACCUGCUCAAACUCUUGGUACAGGACCUCACCACACGUGUCAAGAAGGUUUCCAUCUCAUUUCUACUCUGAAGCUCACCUUCUCCUGCUCAAACUGCUAACAAAUGUUUCUGCUGCUCUAAAGUCUGGUCUCCAGAACUUCCUAAAAACUCUCAAAGUCUCUUCUGCUGCAGGUUGCUUUGUAGAACUGUUGCAGAAAACCUCACUAAACCACAUGGAGGGGCCUCAAGAUAGUCGUCCAAAUGAAACCAUACAAAAACCAAACUAGCACAACCCAAACGCUAAAGUCUCCUGCAGCCUACCAGAGAACCUCUGAGAACAGAGAAUCAGGACAGGAACUCUUACCUUCUGGACAACCAACGUUGGUUCUCAAACAAGAAUACAGAAUGUGUCUGACCAAAAACCUCUGAAGACUCACUACAGCCACAACUCAGCUGCAUCAAAUCCACUAAUCACUGCACACAUUAGCACCAUGUGCUGACUGUGGCUAAAGAACCACAUUUACCAAGACAACUAUCCAGUACAAAGCCCUAAAACACACCAAGAAACACAUUAAAGAUGAUUUUACUGCUGGAAGCUGCAAGCCAACGCCUAAAGAACAAACUAAAGCAAUGGAGCCAAACCCAGUUCACUGGUGAAGAGAAACAGAGGAAAUGUUUGGCUGCAGCCAAAUAAAGCAGGAAGACACUGAGCUGCUCAGGUGUUCCUGAUAACACCAAGCAGCCACCUGGACAGCCAAUAGGAACACAGCUUACUGGAAGUCCAGAGGGCUGGCUUAGUGAAGGAAAUUUAGUUUAAAGUUGAAGCAGAAAGUUAACAAAGAAAGUUGAAAACCACCUUCUGAUACCUGAAAUCUCUGAGUUUUCACACAAAGAACGCCUGAACAUGUCAAACUGGUUCCAUAGUAGAACCAUCAUUGUAAAAACGUCAUAGUAUGGUGUGUUGCUCAAAAAACAUUAUGACCUGGCUGUCUAGGGUCGCCGAGGAGCAACACAAAAACAGGACAAACGCUGGUUUCCAGGGGGUUAGGCAGCUAUUUAUUUGAAAGAGUAAGUUUACAACAACACAACAUGUGAGCAGAAAAAUCACAAAGUCUGUCUUUAGUUCAGCUGAAAAUAUUAGUUUUUGUCUGUUUUAUUGACCAAACUUUUCAGGAAGUAGAUGAAGAAUAAUUAAAGCUCUCAUGUAGAAGUCCAACUUAUUUUGGAUCCUUGUGGAGAGUUUAAUCUUAGAGUUUGUACAGCUGUUGAGUUUUUAGAGUCACAUGGAUUGUUUUGACAUUUAAUAACCGAGUCCUGAAAUAAAAUUACAUUUGUGGAUUUCUGUCAUUUAGUCUGGACUAAACAAAUAACAGCAGCAUAAAUCUCAAACGUCAUUCUGAGGAGUCUGGAUUGAAGUUUCUCACUUGAUAAUGAUCAAAACAUGAAAUUUAGGUUGGUUUAAAGGAAUAUUCCACCUUAAAUCUUUGAAUGUUGACCUAAAAGGUUGGUUUCAAUUCAAUUUCAGUUCAAUUUUAUUUAUAUAGCGCCAAUUACAGUCAAAUUGUCUCGAGACGCUUUACAGAACCCAUAUGCCGAUGCCGAUGUCUAUGGAGUGAACAGGGACCGUCUGCAAAUUGCAAAACUGCUGCAACAGCAAAGAGAGACAAAUAUUCAAUAGCUUCUCUCUGAUACACUGUAGUGUCACCAAAAUCACUGCAGCCUUCAACUGUCUCCUGUUGACACCAAUGUUAUUUCUGCAGCUUGAAAGACAGUUACUGUUGAUAAAACUAGGCUUGUAGGACAUUGUCUACCUUACAACGAUGGAAAAGAGGCAUCGUUUAUAAUGAGUUAUGGAUGGUGGAAUUCUGAAUCUGUGAAUAUCUUUCCGAUUUUACUGAACUGUGGCCCCAAGGAGCCGUGGUGGGCGUCCUUUAUUUUCAUUUCUGAAAGGAGGCAACCCUAGUUGCAGUCUAUGGUCCAGUCACCUUUCGUAACUUUUGCAAGCCACUGCUUUAAAUAAAACUUUAUUGAUUUCAAAUUUGUCUGCGAUUCAUACGUUUCUGUUCUGUCAUAACAGUUGGGAGAUUCAGUUCAGUUUGAUUCAGUUUUUCUUGGUGUAAUGAACGGCUGUCUUGGAGAUCUUCAGUUUUUUCACUACCUGUCUCUUACUCAUGCCAAUUUCCAGCAGUGCCAAGAUGGCUGCCUUUGUGGCUUUACAUAAUUCUUUUGUUUGAGGCGUUAUGUGAGAGCUGACAACUUCUGAGUUGUGCUAUGGCUUGAAUGUCAGCAGGAAACCACUCUAGGCCUUUGCAUGUGCAGUGUUGCUUAUGACAUGAAAUUACCUCUUAUAUACCCUGGGAAUACAAUUAAGCUGAUGUGAAAUAGGACAUAAAGUAUUAUGUAAUAAGCUGCAUUUUUUGUCGUGUUCAUUGGUAUUCUUCAGGUAAUAUACCUUUAGCGGUACCUGGCAAUAAAAUGAGCAAGAAAUUGAAGAAAACAA